RNAcentral lists this ribosomal RNA (433 nucleotides) under uncultured bacterium. Its description in RNAcentral is "partial 16S ribosomal RNA". It matches the Rfam family "Bacterial small subunit ribosomal RNA", at positions 29 to 507 of the family's 1533-position model. The record is from RNAcentral.
AACGAACGCUGGCGGCAUGCCUAACACAUGCAAGUCGAACGAGACCUUCGGGUCUAGUGGCGCACGGGUGCGUAACGCGUGGGAACCUGCCCUUAGGUUCGGAAUAACUCCCCGAAAGGGGUGCUAAUACCGGAUAAUGUCUUCGGACCAAAGAUUUAUCGCCUUUGGAUGGGCCCGCGUUGGAUUAGCUAGUUGGUAGGGUAAAAGCCUACCAAGGCGACGAUCCAUAGCUGGUCUGAGAGGAUGAUCAGCCACACUGGGACUGAGACACGGCCCAGACUCCUACGGGAGGCAGCAGUGGGGAAUAUUGGACAAUGGGCGAAAGCCUGAUCCAGCAAUGCCGCGUGAGUGAUGAAGGCCUUAGGGUUGUAAAGCUCGUUUACCCGGGAUGAUAAUGACAGUACCGGGAGAAUAAGCUCCGGCUAACUCCGUG